GUCGAGCGAGAACCAUGGCUUCGGCCAUGGGGACAGCGGCGAACGGGUGAGUAACACGUGGGUAAUCUGCCCCUGACACUGGGAUAGCCCGGGGAAACCCGGAUUAAUACCGGAUAGCCUCUCGAGCUCUCGGGCUCGUGAGAAAAGAUGGCUUUGGCUUUCGGUUGGGGAGGAGCCUGCGGCGGAUUAGCUUGUUGGCGGGGUAAAGGCCCACCAAGGCGACAAUCCGUAGCUGGUCUGAGAGGACGAUCAGCCACACUGGGACUGAGACACGGCCCAGACUCCUACGGGAGGCAGCAGUGGGGAAUCUUGCGCAAUGGGCGAAAGCCUGACGCAGCGACGCCGCGUGAGGGAAGAAGGCCUUCGGGUUGUAAACCUCUUUCAGGAGGGACGAAGCUACUCGGGUUAAUACCCCAGAGGGUGACGGUACCUCCAGAAGAAGCCCCGGCUGACUACGUGCCAGCAGCCGCGGUAAUACGUAGGGGGCAAGCGUUGUCCGGAAUCAUUGGGCGUAAAGAGCGUGUAGGCGGCCAGAUAAGUCCGCUGUGAAAACUCGAGGCUCAACUUCGAGCUGUCGGUGGAAACUAUUUGGCUAGAGUCCGGAAGAGGAGAGUGGAAUUCCUGGUGUAGCGGUGAAAUGCGCAGAUAUCAGGAAGAACACCCGUGGCGAAGGCGGCUCUCUGGGACGGUACUGACGCUGAGACGCGAAAGCGUGGGGAGCGAACAGGAUUAGAUACCCUGGUAGUCCACGCCGUAAACGAUGGGUGCUAGG
This 772-nucleotide ribosomal RNA is filed under the name uncultured Rubrobacteraceae bacterium. RNAcentral describes it as "bacterial SSU rRNA". It matches the Rfam family "Bacterial small subunit ribosomal RNA", at positions 61 to 820 of the family's 1533-position model. Lineage: Bacteria; Bacillati; Actinomycetota; Rubrobacteria; Rubrobacterales; Rubrobacteraceae. The record is from RNAcentral.